Molecule: ribosomal RNA, 493 nt
Filed under: uncultured bacterium
Lineage: Bacteria
Description: partial 16S ribosomal RNA
Rfam family: Bacterial small subunit ribosomal RNA
Source: RNAcentral
GACGAACGCUGGCGGCGUGCUUAACACAUGCAAGUCGAACGGUGAAGCGCCUUCCUUUUUGGUGGGUGUGGAUGAGUGGCGAACGGGUGAGUAACACGUGAGUAACCUGCCCCCUUCUUCUGGAUAACCGCAUGAAAGUGUGGCUAAUACGGGAUAUUCUGGGUCUGUCGCAUGAUGGGUCUGGGAAAGAUAUUGUUUCGGUGGGGGAUGGGCUCGCGGCCUAUCAGCUUGUUGGUGGGGUGAUGGCCUACCAAGGCGGUGACGGGUAGCCGGCCUGGGGGGGUGGACGGUCACCCGGGGACUGAGACACGGCCCGGCCCCCAACGGGAGCAGCCGGUGGGGAUAUUGCCACAAUGGGGGAAGGCCUGAUGCGGCGCGGCCCGGUGGGGAAUGGGGCCCUUCGGGUUGGAACCCUCUUUCGCCAGUAAAGCAGGCCGCCUCGUUUGUGGGUGGGUUGACGGUAGCUGGAUAAGAAGCGCCGGCUAACUACGUG